AAGUCGUAACAAGGUUUCCGUAGGUGAACCUGCGGAAGGAUCAAUCCAAAUAUAUACAAUUCAAUUGUAUAUUUACAUUUAAAUGGUAAUCAAUCACUUUGUGAAUGAUUAUCGUGAUUACAAUAUAUAGACGGUGUCUUAGUAAUCAAACAACAUUUUAGCCAUUUGAAAUUAAAUGAAAACAAAAAGUUGAUACACAACUAUUAGUGGUGGAUCACUUGGCUCGCAG
RNAcentral lists this unclassified non-coding RNA (229 nucleotides) under fungal sp. Its description in RNAcentral is "partial internal transcribed spacer region". The stretch from base 1 to 46 matches the Rfam family "Eukaryotic small subunit ribosomal RNA", at positions 1786 to 1831 of the family's 1831-position model. The record is from RNAcentral. Lineage: Eukaryota; Fungi.